UCCCAGGCAGAGAUACAAUGCUAACAGUAGGCAGAUGUACAAAUGAAACAAAAUAUAACCAUUCCUUUUCUUUGUAUGGAAGAAAAAGUUGACCACUACAAUAUCCUCAAAGGCUUGUAUUUUCCAGCACAUACGAUGCUAUUGGAUGAUUACACAUUAGCUGCAGUCAGCUGCACUAAACUGAAACAUGGAAAUCAACAACUACAAGGGUGCCAAAGCCUCAGGAAUAAAAGUGGUUAGUAAUGUAAGCAAGUUGGGUCUGUUUUGUACAGCUGGUGAAUUAUCAAAUUGGAUAUCUGCUCUUUGCAAAGCUACUGUAUAGGAUUGGCUAUAAGCAUUGUCUUUGGUGUGAGAUUUAAGGUGCAAUUGACCUGGGAUAAGUGACUGGUACUUUGAAACUGGGAGUAACCUGAAUAUUGCUGUGAUUCCUGGUGUAAGAGACCAUAUUCUACAAAGAUCUGCGGAAUGUGAGAAAUGUUGCUGACUCAGCACCUGGCAAGAUGCUCACAGCCCUGGCAGCCCCAUUAAAGUAAAUCUGUUGUGAUGACUAAGCGCAGGUCUCCACUACCACUUAAGUCGAUUUAACUUACAUUGUUUAGGGGUGUGAAAAAGCCCCCUCCCCCAAGUGACGCAAGUUUUGCGCUGUCUACGCCAGCACUAAGUCAGUGGGAGAUGCUCUCCUGUCGACAUAGCUUACGCUUCUCACCGAGGUGGAGUUAAUUAUUCUGACGGGAGAGUGCUCUCCCAUCGGCAUAGCAUGUCUUCACCAGACGCGCUACAGCUAGGCAGCUGCGCCAAUGAAGCGCUAUAGUGUAGACUUGCCGUAAGUGCA
This is a long non-coding RNA of Malaclemys terrapin pileata, 832 nucleotides long. RefSeq lists it as uncharacterized. The transcript is spliced from 4 exons. NCBI's taxonomy places the organism in Eukaryota, Metazoa, Chordata, Testudines, Emydidae. The record is from RefSeq and is a predicted model, not a curated record.